GUAUCCUGCAUCUACUGGCCCAGAUCCAAUGGAGCAUGCAAUGUGCUCUUUGCCAUUAGCAUCAAUGAGUUUAACAGUUGCAGUAGAGAGACCAAGUGUUCCACAAGUAACCUGCAGAUCACUAAGCUUCCACACAAUUUCAGGCUGAAAAACUUCAUCUGACACCAAUGCUAUCAGGUCCGCAUCAGUGACUCUCUUUUUUUGUUCAGCUACUGCCUUGAAACUCCAAAAGAUAUUGCCAAGUUGCUCAUCAUUCAAUUCAUAACCAAGCUCUUUUAGUCGAUCUUUCAAAGCAUGGCGGCCACUGAGUUUUCCAAG
This 318-nucleotide unclassified non-coding RNA is filed under the name Hevea brasiliensis (rubber tree). Lineage: Eukaryota; Viridiplantae; Streptophyta; Magnoliopsida; Malpighiales; Euphorbiaceae. The record is from RNAcentral.